Non-coding RNA from Xyrichtys novacula (pearly razorfish), 88 nucleotides. The record is from the annotation of a GenBank genome assembly. Lineage: Eukaryota; Metazoa; Chordata; Actinopteri; Labriformes; Labridae.
UCUAAUAAUUGAGAUUGAUGAUGAGGAUAGAGGAAAGCCUCAAUCACAAGAGUGAGGCUUUCCUCUAUCCUCAUCAUCAGUCUCAGUG